CCUACGGGGGGCAGCAGUGGGGGAUAUUGCACAAUGGGGGGAACCCUGAUGCAGCGACGCCGCGUGAGUGAAGAAGUAUCUCGGUAUGUAAAGCUCUAUCAGCGGGGAAGAAGCAAGACGGUACCUGACUCAGAAGCCCCGGCUAAAUACGUGCCAGCAGCCGAGGUAAGACGUAGGGGGCGAGCGUUAUCCGGAUUUACUGGGUGUACAGUGCGCGGAGACGGCAUGGCAAGUCUGGAGUGAAAGCCCGGGGCCCAACCCCGGGACUGCUCUGGAAACUGGCAUGCUAGAGUGCUGGAGAGGUAAGUGGAAGUCCAAGUGGAGCGGUGAAAUGCGUAGAGAUUAGGAGGAAGACCAGUGGCGAAGGCGGCUUACUGGACAGUGACUGACGUUGAGGCUCGAAAGCGUGGGGAGCAAACAGGAUUAGAUACCCUUGUAGUC
Molecule: ribosomal RNA, 441 nt
Filed under: uncultured bacterium
Lineage: Bacteria
Description: partial 16S ribosomal RNA
Rfam family: Bacterial small subunit ribosomal RNA
Source: RNAcentral